AUGAGAGAAUGGCCGCGAUCGAUGACAUGGAUUUCACUAGUCUGCGGAAUAUCAAGUGUGAUAAUCUGUUCAAAUCGGCUUUCUCAAUGGCUUGCUGGUCUAUACGACCCUGAUUCCCGUGAGGUUGUUGUACCCGGUCGCGGAAGGUUACCGGUCAGUGAAGAGUCUGUGCAUCGUAUAAUGGGUGUGCCCCGAGGUGAUAUUGCGGUGGAUUUCAAGGUUCCUACAGAUGCAGAGCUUGAGCUUGCGGGAGAUCUUUUUGGUGAUCUUGGACAUGCUCCUAAAACUAUGGAUGUAUUAAACCUUAUCCUGAGCACUAACCGUCAUGACGACAAUUUCAAGCGCUUGUGGCUUGUGCUUGCUGCCAGCACCGUGAUGGCGCCGACGACUUCGAACAAGAUCAGCACCAGAUGGUAUCCUAUGUUGGUAAGAACAUCUGGCUAUCUUUCUAGUUCAUGCUUUUUAUCGCUUUUCUUUUCUGAUUUUCUACCUGGUAAUUUUUUGCUUCUUAGUCUGAUGAUUAUGCACAUAUGCACUUUGAUAACUUACCCUGAUUUUUGGAGUGUGGUAACUUCCGUCCCUUUGAUUUUCCUGUGA
Molecule: ribosomal RNA, 597 nt
Filed under: Triticum aestivum (bread wheat)
Lineage: Eukaryota; Viridiplantae; Streptophyta; Magnoliopsida; Poales; Poaceae
Description: partial small subunit ribosomal RNA
Source: RNAcentral